UGAAUGGUUGUCUAUGUGCAUGCCUGG
Molecule: non-coding RNA, 27 nt
Filed under: Rattus norvegicus (Norway rat)
Lineage: Eukaryota; Metazoa; Chordata; Mammalia; Rodentia; Muridae
Source: RNAcentral